GUUACUACAGAGGGUGCAAGCGUUAAUCGGAAUUACUGGGCGUUAAGCGAGCGUAGGUGGCUUGAUAAGUCAGAUGUGAAAUCCCUGGGCUUAACCUGGGAACUGCAUCUGAUACUGUUAGGCUAGAAUAGGUGAGAGGAAGGUAGAAUUCCAGGUGUAGCGGUGAAAUGCGUAGAGAUCUGGAGGAAUACCGAUGGCGAAGGCAGCCUUCUGGCAUCAUAUUGACACUGAGGUUCGAAAGCGUGGGUAGCAAACAGGAUUAGAUACCCUGGUAGUCCACGCCGUAAACGAUGUCUACUAGUCGUUGGGUCCCUUGAGGACUUAGUGACGCAGCUAACGCAAUAAGUAGACCGCCUGGGGAGUACGGCCGCAAGGUUAAAACUCAAAUGAAUUGACGGGGGCCCGCACAAGCGGUGGAGCAUGUGGUUUAAUUCGAUGCAACGCGAAGAACCUUACCUGGUCUUGACAUAUCUAGAAUCCUGCAGAGAUGCGGGAGUGCCUUCGGGAAUUAGAAUACAGGUGCUGCAUGGCUGUCGUCAGCUCGUGUCGUGAGAUGUUGGGUUAAGUCCCGCAACGAGCGCAACCCUUGUCCUUAGUUACCAGCGGGUUAAGCCGGGAACUCUAAGGAUACUGCCAGUGACAAACUGGAGGAAGGCGGGGACGACGUCAAGUCAUCAUGGCCCUUACGACCAGGGCUACACACGUGCUACAAUGGUAGGUACAGAGGGCAGCUACACAGCGAUGUGAUGCGAAUCUCAAAAAGCCUAUCGUAGUCCAGAUUGGAGUCUGCAACUCGACUCCAUGAAGUAGGAAUCGCUAGUAAUCGCGGAUCAGAAUGCCGCGGUGAAUACGUUCCCGGGCCUUGUACACACCGCCCGUCACACCAUGGGAGUUGAUUGCACCAGAAGUGGAUAGCCUAACCGUAAGGAA
Molecule: ribosomal RNA, 930 nt
Filed under: Psychrobacter maritimus
Lineage: Bacteria; Pseudomonadati; Pseudomonadota; Gammaproteobacteria; Moraxellales; Moraxellaceae
Description: bacterial SSU rRNA
Rfam family: Bacterial small subunit ribosomal RNA
Source: RNAcentral